AAGCUCGUAGUUGAAUUUCGGGGUUAGUAGGUUGGUCAUGCCUCUGGUAUGUACUGGUCUCACUGAUUCCUCCUUCCUGAUGAACCGUAAUGCCAUUAAUUUGGUGUUGCGGGGAAUUUGGACUGUUACUUUGAAAAAAUUGAGUGUUUAAAGCAAGCUAACGCUUGAAUACAUUAGCAUGGAAUAAUGAAAUAGGACGUUCGAUCCUAUUUUGUUGGUUUCUAGGAUUGACGUAAUGAUUAAUAGGGAUAGUUGGG
Molecule: ribosomal RNA, 257 nt
Filed under: uncultured Glomus
Lineage: Eukaryota; Fungi; Glomeromycota; Glomeromycetes; Glomerales; Glomeraceae
Description: partial 18S ribosomal RNA
Rfam family: Eukaryotic small subunit ribosomal RNA
Source: RNAcentral